UUCAAUCCUUGCAGCUAUGCCUUCAUGAUUGAAGAAAAGCAGUUCAGCUUUUUUCCAAGUAACCUGUCGGAUUUACAGGAAGUAAGCAAGCUUCCUAUUAUAGUGGAUUGGAGUAUUGGGCGCAAUAACUGCGAAACCUUGGAAAAGAACAAGAUAUCGAAUGCAUGUUGGAGCAGCAGCUAUCAAGAAGGGAAGGAUCCGUUACAGAAACGGCAAAAAUCUUUUCAGCUAAAGAACUCGAGAAAGCCACUGACAAAUACCAUGAAAGUAGAAUUCUUGGCCGUGGAGGUUUUGGCACAGUUUACAAGGGAACUUUAACAGAUGGAAGAACUGUUGCAAUCAAGAAGUCCAAAACAAUCGAUCAUAGCCAGAUCGAGCAGUUUAUCAAUGAGGUGGUUGUUCUUUACCAAAUCAAUCACUGGAAUGUGGUGAAGCUUCUGGGAUGUUGCUUGGAGACAGAAGUCCCAUUACUAGUUUAUGAAUAUGUUGCAAAUGGCACCCUCUAUGACCACAUUCACGACAUGAGUAAGGUGCCGGCCCUCACCUGGGAAAUCCGUUUAAAGAUAGCUUCUGAAACUGCAGGUGUUCUAUCAUAUUUGCAUUCCGCGGCUUCUGUGCCAAUCAUUCAUAGGGAUGUGAAGUCUACAAACAUACUCCUGGACAACAGUUACACGGCAAAAGUGUCAGAUUUUGGCACUUCUAGGUUAAUUCCGUUGGAUCAAGUUGAAUUGUCAACGAUGGUGCGAGGUACUCUAGGAUACUUAGACCCUGAGUACUUGCACACAAGCCAACUGACGGACAAGAGUGAUGUUUACAGUUUUGGAGUGGUUCUUGUGGAACUACUAACUGGGAUGAAGGCAAUUUCCUUCCAUAAGCCUGAGGGGGAGAGGAAUUUAUCAUCGUAUUUUCUUUGUGCACUGAAAGAAGAUCGCCUGGUCCAUAUUCUUCAGGAUAGCAUGGUGAACCAGGAUAAUAUCAGGCAGCUGAAGGGAGUUGCCGACAUUGCAAAGAAGUGCUUAAGAGUAAAAGGAGAGGAAAGACCCAACAUGAAGAAUGUAGCAAUGGAAUUAGAGGGGCUAAGAACAUCUGCAAAACAUCCUUGGACUAAUGACGAAUCAGAUGUAGAAGAGACAGAGGACUUGCUUGGAGAAUCAGUGGAAACUGUUCGUUCUGAGGAAAUGGCUGGUACAAGUGCUGGAUAUCACGGUUUAUAUUUAAUGCAAUCACAAGGAGAUGGCAGAUGAACAUUUUAUUCUAGUGUCACAGCUUCGCUUGAUAGUUUGCUUUGAAUAAUAGCUUGCGCCAAGGCAAUGCUUUUCUUUUCUAUAUUACAGUCCAGUUCUUUUCUAUGUAAUUUUAUAAGAGAAAGAAUUUCUGAUGACAGUAUGUACAAUAUUCAACCCGCAUUGAAACUCUUUAUCCUAUCUCCAUUCUGCAAUGUAAUAUUCCAGGCGAUCUCCUUCUGAAAGCAAAAAAAUUGCUUGACAAACAUUCCGGUGUAUGCCAUUUCCUAAACAGGCAAAAUCUGUUAGUUACCCAUGCUCAUUGACAAGGACUGCGAUUAUAUGUCUCUGGGAAGGAAAUUUUUAUCGUCCACUCGACAUAGCAUAACAUAUUUGAAACGUUGUGAUUAUUUUUUAAAAUAUUUUUAAUUUAUAAAUAUAUUAAAAUAAUUUUUAUUUUUAAAAAUUAUUUUUGAUACCAGCACAUCAAAAUAAUCUAAAAAUAUAUAAAAAAAAUAUUAAUUUUAAAAAAAUAAAAAUAAAUAAAUAUUUUAAAAAAAUAUUUUUGAAAUAAAAAAUAAAUAAGCUGACAACAAAAAAAGAAAUUAGUAAAGGCACAACCAUUAUUUAGCUUUUCUUGUCGAUGAAAACUAAAAAAAAAUCUUACGUUGAUCAUGAUAAUUCUUAAUAAAGAAAUUGAUUCCACAUUUUUAUAAAAGAUCAAGACCGCUCUAACCCGAACUUAUUGGAUACCUAAGUAUGCAUAUUGUCAAGGAUGAUUCAUCUCAAAAUAUAAUUUUUCUAUCAUAUAUAAUAUAUAAUAUUUAUUAUUUAAUUAUUUAAUUUAUUUAUAUGUUUAUUGCUAGGUGUGUGUGUAUAUUACUUUUGGUAUUUAGUAAUGAAUAUUUGAAUAAAUAUCUUAAACUCGAUGUAUAACCCAAUAAAUAAUAGAUAAAAUAUGAAUAUAGCAUAAACUCAAACUCUUGAAUACUCAUUAUCAUCUCUCUCGAAAUUAUUUAACAUUUUUAUAUCUAAUCUUAAAUAAGAUAAUUUAAAAAAUGAAAUGAAAUGCUCAGUUACCUAAAUUGAAGGCAAGUUAUUGGAACUUUAUUGGGAAGCAAAGAGUUAUAGAUUAAAACCCAAUUUAUGCCCAUAAUCAAAUAUACUAAAUUUAGACCUUAGGUCCAAAACCACCUUGUCAAUUCAAAGAUAAUAAAAUUAAAGUUUAAAAACCAUUAAAAGAAUCCAAAAUAAUGAGGACAUGAGCUCUAUGUCCAUGUGCAUCUAUCACAUCAUGUGUUUAAAAAUAAAAUUGAACCUAAGGCUCGACCUCUAUUACCCCCCGUAAAAGAUUUCAAGAAGAAAUUUAUUAAUGGCAUAACAAAAAAAAAAAUCAAAUAAUAAUAAUACCAAAAAAUAUAGAAAAAAUAAAAAAUCUUAUAAAACAUCUUCCUCCUUGCUUCCCAAAGCAAUCUUUAAGUUAGUGUUAAAUCUUUUUUUAAUAUUUUCUAGUAUAUAUAAUUCUAGAUUUAUUAUAUUAAAUAUGGUAUCAAUAUUUUAGCUCAAAACUAAAGUUUUUUUUUUUUUAAUAAUCCGGGAUGUUCGGGUUAACUUGCGCACACCACAACUAAUCCACGAGAUCUACUGAACAUCCUACAAGCCCAAUAAACAUGUAAGGCACCGCGAGGAUGACAUAUGUGCACAAUAAAAUUCAAAUCCAUGUGCAGUGGAAGGGAACAAGUUUCUUCCACCACUGGACCACAUCCCUCAGUGCAAAAAUAACUAAAGUUUUUCUUGAUCUAUACAACACUCCAUCUAGUAUGAAUAAUAUGUAUUGUUAUUUUUUUUUAUUUGAUAAAAUAUUUGAAAUGAUGAUUAAAAAAAAUACCUGCUACUAUAUUAGAUCAAAUCAGUCAACCAUAAUAUAUAUUAAAAAAAAAAUUAAUAUGGCUUGUUCGACUUUCGGGGCAAGAGCAAACUAAUUACCUCAUUUAAAUGGCAAUAUAAUUAAAAACAAAUCCACUCCAUCAUUGUUUUAACAUCUACCUAGCUCUAGCUUAAAUAUGAAAUAAUAAAUUGUCAAAACAUUAAAUCAUAAAAAAAAAAAUUAGAAAGUAAAAUGAAAAGAUGGCAACAUAUUGUAUUGAUCUGGAUUAACAUGUGAAAUUUACAACCAAUAUAAUAGACACAAUCAUAAUAAAUGAAUCUGGUUGGACAAUUUAUAUUUUUUUUUCUUCUUUUAUUCUCUUCCUGAUUGAGUCUUAAUAUAUCUCAAGUUAGAUUAACUCUGGAGUCUGUUGGUAAAACUUUGAUAAACUUUAUUUUGAAGAAUGAUACAUCUGCUCGCAGAAAUUCAAGAUAUACUUGCCUCGUUGUGAUCAUGUUGAAUGAACAUCCAAAUUACAAGAGAUGUUAAUUACAUAAAAGAAAAUCUACAAAAAUGCUACAGUAAGUUAUUUCUCUGCAUUACAUGAUCCAUGCUUCUCUGGUAACAAAACCAAGCUCACUUGUGAAGUCGAAACUCCUGAAAAGAGUUUUAUUGAUUGCAAAACAUCCUUGGACUAAUGACGAAUCAUAUGUAGAAGAGACAGAGGACUUGCUUGGAGAAUCAGUGGAAACUGUUCGUUCUGAGGAAAUGGCUGGUACAAGUGCUGGAUAUCACAGUUUAUAUUUAAUGCAAUCACAAGGAGAUGGCAGAUGAACUUUUUAUUCUAGUGUCACAGCUUCGCUUGAUAGUUUGCUUUUUAUAAUAGCUUGCGAGCAGUGUAUGGUAAUGCUUUUAUUUUCUAUAUUUCAGUCCAGUUCUGUUUUUGUUAUAGUGGUCCUGUAAUUUUAAAAGACGAAGAAUUUCUGACAGUAUGUGCAAUACUCAACCCGCAUUGAAACUCUUUAUCCUAUCUCCAUUCUGGUGUAUGCCAUGCUCGUUGACAAGGACUUCGAUUGCAUGUCUCUGGGAAGGAAAUUUUUAUCGUCGCCCCGACAUUUAGACAACCACAAAAAAAGAAAUCCGGAAAGGCACAAUCAUUAUUCAAUUUUUAUAUUUUUUUAUCUAAUCUUGACGCAGCAGUAAACAGUGAAGGAAUACGACCAACGUCAAUAUUCUGUAAAAUUGUAUAAACAAGAGAAACUCUCAGAAAACUCAAAGGUUUUUAUUCAAUAAUUAUUAGCUGCCACCUCCAGAGGCUUUGCAAUGAUAUUUAAAGCAAAAUUCUACCCUAACCCAUGACGGAUAAGGAAACGACACAAAACAUUAAAUUUACCAAAAAUGACAAAUUUGAGAUAAAUGCAGAAUAUGAAAGGCCUAUAAAUCCUGAGCAAACAAGAAUUGACGGAAGUCAAUUCGGACUCUGGAAUCAAAAGUUAUGGCCAAAACAAAACUUUCCUAAAAUGACAAAAAUGACGAUUUCGGGGACGAAACGAUGGAAUUUGGCCAAAAACCGGUGGACAUCAGGGGCAUAGCCGCUGACUUCAUCCGCAAAUGGCGAAACGCUUUGACUCGGUGAGUUUCGCGGCAUUCCAACAUCAACGCCCCGGCUGCCGAAAUUCAGUUGCCUUUGAAUUUCGGGUGAUCCCUUUUGAGCAUGUAUUCUUCCGUUAUUUGUUCUACAUCAAAUCUUAAGCUACAAAACUGUAUAACAAAUUCAGUUCGAUACUGCAAUUGUUGAGGUAUAGAUUUGGACUUUUAUUUUGACCAAACCAUAAAAUUCAUGUCUUUUAAGUAAUGCAUUUCUCAGGUAAUGAAAUCACCAAUUAAAUCUCAGGAGUCCAGGGAUAGCUAAUGGAUUAAAUUAGAGGCAUAUCGAAGAUAUAAUAAAUACACCCAUCAGUAGGAAUCAUCAAAAGCAGCAAUCACAAUCAAAUAGGCAGAGAAAGGCACCCCCACCACUGCUCUUGUUAAAACCCAAUUCCUCUUGUGUAUAUACUCAUUAUAUCCGCGCAAGUCAAAUAAUUUGUUUUUUACAAAAGAAAUUAAAUAUACAAGCUUUUAAAUUUUGUUUUUUUUUAUCCUAAUUAUAAAUAAAAAAACCUAUACAUUCACUUAAUUAAAUACAUUAAAAACUACAUGUGCCAAUAAAUAUAUAAAAAAAAUAAAAUCUUAACAUGUUUAUUCAACUCGCCUCACUACAAGUUAAAUAAUUUUUUUUUUCUAAUAUAAAAGAAUUAAUAUGUAGGUGUUAUUAACAAAUCUUUUUACAUCGAGUAAAAAAUAUAACCGUAAAUCAAAAACCUGAUGACCACAUGUGUCAUCGCAACAUAGAAAGGAAAUGUUAAGACGAUUCAAACUCUACCGUGAAAGAUGAUAUUUGAUUAUUGGAAGGCUUCUCAAUCGAGGAUGCGUGCAAUAUAGUUGUUUGAUAUUUUUUUUAAUAAUAUUUAUAUUUAUUAAAUUAUUAAAUAACUUCUAAGUCAACCUAGAUAUUUUAUUGUUUCAAUCUUGGUGUAAAAUGAAUGAUGGAUGAUUUUUAGUUUUUUCUUAAGUAUUUAAUUCUCAGUUAUAUUAUGCUCUGGUUUAUGCAAUUUAAUUUACUAGUAGUUUUAGUUUUUAGGAUAAAACCAUUAUUCAAUUAACUUCCCUAAAGAAAGAGAGAUUGACAGAUCUCAAAUACAAGAAAAAAUAAAUAAAUUUAAGUGGCAUGUUAUUUCCGAACCGGAAUAUAUUGGAAGAUCCUCUCCAACGGCUCAAAUAUAAUGAGAGCCACCAUAUCAUCAUACGUUGUUAACAAUCCCGUGAAGUAACUGAUAUCAAUUUUUUUUUUAAUUUAUUAGGAUUAAGAAAAAAUUGAAUGAAUUUUAAUUAUAUUUGUUUGAAAGUUUAGUAGCGGUUAUUUUUUAAAAUAUUUUUUAUUAAAAAAUAUAUUGAAAUAAUUUUUUACUAUUUUAACAUUAAUAAAUCAAAAUAAUAUAAAAACACCAAAAUAUAUAUAUAUAUAUAUAUAAAUUUUAAUGAGAGGAUUAUAGAUUAUAUAAAAUUAAAAUCAUGUUUGCUUUUUUUUGAAGUGUUUAGGAAUAUGAUGCAAACCACAUUCCCUCAAAUUUUGAAAAAAAAAUUAUUUAAAUUUUUUUUUAUGUUUUCAAAUCGUUUUAAUAUGUUAAUGUUAAAAAUAAUUUUUAAAAAAUAAAAAAAAUAAAUAAAACGCAACCGUCUCUUUAAAUUGAGUAGGUAACCUUCGAUUUAUGCUUCGGUUAAUGUAGAUCUUGUAAGAAACCCAUCCAGUCGAAGCUAUUUGCUUAUUAGUCUAAAAGAGAUCUUUGAAUUCGUUAUUUAGUUUUAGGUUAUCAGACUGGUGAGAUUCUAAAUGUUGCACUGCUAAAUAUCAGCAAGUUGGGAAAUGAAGGCAAACCUCAAGAAUCGAAGAUAUGUUUACCAUCGAGAUCGAGCUUAAUCCAUGCAAAUGGACUCCACCAUCGCUGCUUUGUUAACUCUUCAUAACUGAUAAUUUGCUGGGUUUUAUUUUAAUUUUUAUCAGUCGCUUAAUUUUAACGUCACUGCUUCAAUUCACUCUGUCAAAAGCGCCGGUAAGUAAAAAAAUUAAAAAACUAAUUAAACCGAAAAAACCAGAAAAAAAUAAUUGAGAAAACCAAACAAAAAAAACCCGAUUAAAAUAUUAAAAAACUGGCUGGUUUGGUUCGGUUUUGAUUUUAUAAAUAAAAAACUAAAAAAACCUAACCGAACCGAAAAUUGAGUUAAACUGAGUCAAAACCAAUCCAAAUUAGAAAAAUCAAGCUAAAAUCAACCUAAACUAAAAAAAAAAACCAAUAAAUAAAGUACAAAAAUAAAAGUAAGUUGAAAUGACAACUUUUUAUUUAAAAAGAAAAAACUUUUCCUUUUCACGUUACUUUGUUUCAGGCUACCAUAUGCUCUAUAAAAGCACCCACUAGCGAUUGUUUCUCAACUUUUUUUUAAGAAUCUAUUCACUUUUUUUUAUUGUGAGAGAUUAGCAGAGGUUCAAUGGCCAAGUAACAAGUGUUCCUUUGGGCUCAAACAACCUCCCUUCCCCCUUUACUUUUUUUUUUUUUUAAUAUUAAUUUUGAUUUUGAUUUUUAAUUUCAAAGGAGUUUGUGUCACGCGUGAGAUAAUCCGUUGUUUCACCAGCGUAUGAUUUUCGGCAGACAGCUAGGAGGACACAAACCUCUCCCACACGGCAAGUGCAUGUAAAUUCCACAAGUGAACCCCGCAGCAUUAGAUAGUGAAGGUGGAAUUUAGUUGACUUUAAAAGGCUACUCAUCAAGUCAAGGUCGCACAUCCACUCUAUUUGCCAUGCAAUUUCUUGAAAUUAAUUUGCCAUUACAUUUCUUGAAUUAGGCGGCUUGACUUACAAGAGAAUUAUAAUGCAGUAGUUAUUUUUAAUUUUUUUUUAUUUGGAAAUAUAUUAAAUAAUGAUUUUUUAUUUUUAAUAUUAACAUAUCAAAAUAAUUUUGAAAUACUAAAAAAAAUUAAUUUGAAAUAAAUAAAAAAUAAAAAAAAUUAAUUUAUUUUAAAUAAAGAAAUAAUAGAAUAAAAAGGCUUCGAUUCUAGUAAGUUCUUGCUUGCAAGUCCUCUACCACACGCUCAUUUAGAUACUCAGUCACUUAUAUCCCAACUGGCAUUCAAGCCUAGUAAUUUGGUCUUCCAUCUACCAAUAUCGUGGUACUUUGCUUUAUAAAAAAGGCUAGCUGCCACAGUGAGUUUUGCACCACCCGACUCCAUUCUAAUUAAACAGAAAAGUAGCUGUCAUGAGAAUUCGAGGAAUGGCCUUACAGUUCACAAUAACAGGAGUAGUGUUGUUAGCAGCAGUGACAGCAGCAACAGGGUUUCCUAUAGCGAAGCCUGGAUGCCAAGAUAGGUGUGGGAAUGUUAGUAUCCCAUAUCCAUUUGGCACCAGAAAAGAUUGCUACCACGACCGGAGGUUCCUCAUAACUUGCAACCAUUCUUUCAACCCUCCAAAAGCGUUUUUAGAAAAUAGUAACUUAAGUGUCACAGAAAUAACCCUUGAUGGGAAGCUACGCCUCAUGCAAUAUAUAGCUAAGGACUGCUAUAAUCGGGCAGGUGCACGAAGAUCGAGAAACAUACCCCGGAUAAACCUACCCGUCCAAGGUCCAUACGUUUUUUCUGACACUGACAAUAUGUUCGUCGCUAUCUGCUGUGAUACUGUAGCUGAAAUGCAAGGUAGACGAGAAGACACGAAUGAUACAUACCUGGUAGGAUGCAUUUCCGAAUGUAGCAACAAAACAUUUGUACCAAACACGUGCUCCGGAAUCGGUUGCUGCCAAACCUCCAUUGCCAAAGGAAUUAAGUACUUCGACGUGCGCUUGUCUAGUUUGUAUAAUCAUACGGGAAUCUGGGAAUUCAAUCCUUGCAGCUUUGCCUUCAUGAUUGAAGAAAAGCAGUUCAGCUUUUUUCCAAGUAACCUGUCGGAUUUACAGGAAGUCAGCAAGCUUCCUAUUAUAGUGGAUUGGAGUAUUGGGCGCAAUAACUGCGAAACCUUGGAAAAGAAUAAGAUAUCGAAUGCAUGUCAAGGACAGAGCAAAUGUCAAGACCCUGAAAAUGGGUCUGGGUACAUUUGCAAAUGCUUAGAUGGCUAUCAAGGAAAUCCAUACCUCCCAAAUGGUUGCCGAAGUAUGCAUUUCUUUUUCUUAAUUUUAUCCCUUUUUUAUAACUUUUUACUUUCAUAAAGAGAAAUCCAUACCUCCCAAAUGGUUGCCGAAGUAUGCAUUUCUUUUUCUUAAUUUUAUCCCUUUUUUAUAACUUUUUACUUUCAUAAAGAGAAAGUUAAAUUACUUGUAAUUGAUUUCGAGGAGAUCCCUAAUCUGAUUUUUCGAGAUUGGAUUACUUGAAAUUAUGAGAAUUUACUUUAGUUUUACGUAAAGGCUUCUCUUUAUGAUGCUUCUGCAGACAUUAAUGAAUGUUCAGAUCCAAAAGUAGCCCACAAUUGCAGCCACGCAUGCAUCGACACCGAAGGGAAUUAUACAUGUUCUUGCCCCAAGGGGUACCAUGGAGAUGGGAGAAUAGAUGGAGAACGCUGCAUCCGCAAUCGAUCAUCAGUGAUUCAGGUCGCUGUCGGUAAGUUCGUAUAUCAUCCUCUUCAUUUUCAAUCCCGAUGUUCAUGUACAUACUAUUGUGUAUAGAUCUUUCAUGUGCCAUUAAACGUACCUGUUUGUUUCAGGAAUUUUCAUAUCUGCAAUGUACAUAAUUAAUGUACAUAUCUACGAAUUUUCAUAUCUGCAAUGUACAUAAUUAAUGUUUCAACAUCCUUGUACAUGUAGGAAUUGGAGUGGGACUGACAUCUUUGUUGAUGGGAAUUACUUGGCUGUACUGGGGAUACAAUAAAUGGAAGCUAAUUAAGCUCAAAGAGAAGUUCUUUAGGCAAAAUGGUGGUCUAAUGCUGGAGCAGCAGCUAUCAAGAAGGGAAGGAUCCGUUACAGAAACGGCAAAAAUCUUUUCAGCUGAAGAACUCGAGAAAGCCACGGACAAGUACCAUGAAAGCAGAAUUCUUGGCCGUGGAGGUUUUGGGACUGUUUACAAGGGAACUUUAACAGAUGGAAGAACUGUUGCAAUCAAGAAGUCCAAAACAAUCGAUCAUAGCCAGAUCGAGCAGUUUAUCAAUGAGGUGGUUGUUCUUUACCAAAUCAAUCACAGGAAUGUGGUGAAGCUUCUGGGAUGUUGCUUGGAGACAGAAGUCCCAUUACUAGUUUAUGAAUAUGUUGCAAACGGCACCCUCUAUGACCACAUUCACGACAUGAGUAAGGUGUCGGCCCUCACCUGGGAAAUCCGUUUAAAGAUAGCUUCUGAAACUGCAGGUGUUCUAUCAUAUUUGCAUUCCGCGGCUUCUGUGCCAAUCAUUCAUAGGGAUGUCAAGUCUACAAACAUACUCCUGGACAACAGUUACAAGGCAAAAGUGUCAGAUUUUGGCACUUCUAGGUUAAUUCCGUUGGAUCAAGUUGAAGUGUCAACAAUGGUGCAGGGUACUCUAGGAUACUUAGACCCUGAGUACUUGCACACAAGCCAACUGACGGACAAAAGUGAUGUUUACAGUUUUGGAGUGGUUCUUGUGGAACUACUAACUGGGAUGAAGGCAGUUUCCUUCCAUAAGCCUGAGGAGGAGAGGAGUUUAUCAGCGUAUUUUCUAUGCGCACUGAAAGAAGAUCGCCUGGUCCAUAUUCUUCAGGAUAGCAUGGUGAACCAGGAUAAUAUUAGGCAGCUGAAGGGAGUUGCCAACAUUGCAAAGAAGUGCUUAAGAGUAAAAGGAGAGGGAAGACCCAACAUGAAGAAGGUAGCAAUGGAAUUAGAGGGGCUAAGAACAUCUGCAAAACAUCCUUGGACUAAUGACGAAUCAAAUGUAGAAGAGACAGAGUACCUGCUUGGUAAAUCAGUGGAAACUGCUCGUUCUGAGGAAAUGGCUGGUACAAGUGCUGGAUAUCACAGUUUACAGAAUUAUUUAAUGCAAUCACUAGAUGGUGGCAGAUGAACAUUUUAUUAUAGUGUCACAGCUUCGCUUGAUAGUUUUCUUUGAAUAAUAGCUUGCCAGCAGUGUAUGGUAAUGCAUUUCUUUUCUUUUCUAUAUUUCAGUCCAGUUCUGUUUUUGUUAUAGUGGUCCUGUAAUUUUAAAAGACGACGAAUUUCUGACAUUAUGUCCAAUAUUCAACCCGCAUUAAAACUCUUUAUCCUACCUCCAUUUUGCAAUGUAAUAUUCCAGGUGAUCUCCUUCUGAAAGCAAAUAAAUUUCUGGGCACACAUUCUGGUGCAUGCCAUUUUACCACUGAACAUAUUCCUUUCUUCUUGAGAACACAUGCAAGCUUAGGAGCUGUUAAUAAUCCAAUACUGACUCGUUUUUCCAACAUGUUCUUUCUUUAUUAGAUAUUACCUCUAUAUUCAGUCUAAGAUUAUAAGAGCACUGAAACAGAAAGAAACGAGGGCUAAUAACUUCAGCAUAAUAACGUUUCGCGGCCUGAUGCGACCAUGAGCUUAAAAUCCAAUGGAAAAGCUAAAUGGAUAGCCAAAAAUAAAAAAUUAAUAUUUUGGUUUUUCUUUGCUUGUUUUGCACAUUUUAAGGGGAAAACCAAACAAAAUGCUAAAAUGCAUUUUCUCUCCUACAAAUGUUAUUCCUACAUAUCUCUCAAAAGAGCCAAAACUAAUCAAGUGAGGCCAACAAAAGAAUAAGCCAAUUAAAUCUAGCCAUGUGGAAAAAAAAUAACAUCAAAAUUAUUAAAAAAAAAUAAAACACUUCUUUAUUUUACUCUAAUAGAAUUAGCUUUUCAAAUGGCUUUUUUCUAUUGAAAUAUACAUAAUAAAAAAAACUAUAUUUAUAUUAUUCAAAAUACUAUUUUAUCAAUUUGCUUCUUUAAAAUAACAUCUCCCAUUGAAGAUGCUCUUUACCAUGCCCGUUGACAAGGACUGCGAUUAUAUGUCUCUGGGAAGGAAAUUUUUAUUGUCGCCCCGAUAUUUAGACAACCACAAAAAAAGAAAUUCGUAAAGGGACAAUCAUUAUUCAAUUUUUCUUGUCGGUGAAAACUAAAAACCAAUCUAACGUCGAUCAUAAUAGUUCUUAAUGAAGAAAUUGAUUCCACACACACACACACAUAUAUAUAGAGUAAUGAAUAUCUGAAUAGAUACCAGAUGUAUAACCCAAUAAAUAAUAGAUAAAGUAUGAACAUAGCACCUUGUUAAAACCCAAUUUAUGCCCAUAAUCAAAUAUACUAAAUUUGGACCUUAGGUCUAAAGCCACCUUGUCAAUUCAAAGAUAAUAAAAUUAAAGUUUAAAAACCAUUAAAAGAAUAAAAAAUAAUGAGGACAUGAGCCCUAUGUCCAUUUGCAUCUAUCACAUCAUGUAUUUAAAAAUAAAAUUGAACCGCUCGACCUCUAUUUUUCCCCCUAAAAGAUCUGCAAGAAGGACUUUAUUAGUGUCAUAACAAAAAAAAAAUCAAAUAAUAACAAUACCAAAACAUCUACAAAAAAUAAAAAAUCUUAUAGAUAAAACAAAAGAGCAUCUUCCUAGCUUCCCAAAGCAAUCUUUGGUUAGUGUUAAAGCUUUUUUAAUAAUUUCUAUUACAUAUAGUUCUAGAUUUAUUAUAUUAAAUACAAGCAUCAACAUUUCUAGAUUUAUUAAUUGAAUGAAUCUUAAUUAUCUUUGUUUGAAAGUUUAGUAACGAUUAUUUUUUAAAAUAUUUUUUAUUAAAAAAUAUAUUAAAAUAAUUUUUUUUACUAUUUUAAUAUUAAUAAAUCAAAAUAAUAUAAAAACACUAAAAAUUAUAUAUAUAUAUAUAUAUAUAUAAAUUUUAAUGAGAGGAUUAUAGAUUAUAUAAAAUUAAAACCAUAUUUGCUUUUUUGGGAGUGUUUGGGAAUAUGACACAAACCACGUUCCCUCAAGUUUUUUUUUUAAAAUUUGUUAAUUUUUUUUUUAUUUUCAGAUCGUUAUAAUAUAUUAAUGUUAAAAAUAGUUUUUAAAAAAUAAUAAUAAAAAGUGAAACGCAACCGUCUCUUUAAAUUGAGUAGGUAACCUCCGAUUUAUGCUUCGGUUGAUGUAGAUCUUGUAAGAAACCCGUCCAGUCGAAACUAUUUGCUUAUUAGUCUAAAAAGAUUUUUGAAUUCGUUACUUAGUUUUAGGUUAUCAGCCUGGUGAGAUUCUGAAUGUUGCACUGUUAAAUAUCAGCAAGUUGGGAAACGAAGGUAAACCUCAAGAAACGAAGAUAUGUUUACCAUGGAGCUUAAUGUUGAAGAAUAAUCAAUUACUGUUAGCAGUUCUUGUUAGUAAGUCGGUUAAUACUGUUAGUCUAGCUGGCAGUUAGUUAAGUCUGUUAGUAUUCCUAACUAACAAUAACAGAUUCCUUGAAUCACGGGGCAGUAGCUGAUUCCUUGUAAUGGCUAUAUAAUGCCUUAUUGUUGCAUCUAUAGAGAAUAAUACAGUACAGUAUUCAUCAAUCGUUCUUGUUUAUCAAUUCUAACAAAUUGGUAUCAGAGCAAAACAAAGAAAAAAAAGAAGAAAGAAUCAAGAAGAAGAAAAGAAAGCUGCAGUUGAUUUCUUUGCUUUACGAUUGACAUAUACAAACAAAGAAGAUUCAAGAGAUGGCGAAUGACAAUAAUGGCAGUUUCAUACAACCAUCUAUACCACGUUUUGAUGGACAUUUCGAUCACUGGAGCAUGCUAAUGGAGAAUUUCUUGAGAUCCAAGGAAUUCUGGACCUUGGUUGAAACUGGCUGCACAGAGCCAGAGGAAGGAGCAAAUGUGACUGAAAUGCAACGAAAGAAACUGGAGGAGCUAAAACUCAAAGAUCUGAAAGUGAAGAACUACUUAUUCCAGGCCAUUGACAGAACCACACUAGAAACUAUUCUAGAGAAGAACACCUCUAAGCAAAUCUAGGACUUAAUGAAAAGAAAAUAUGAAGGAAAUGCAAGAGUGAAGCGUUCAAUCCUUCAAACACUAAGGAAGGAGUUUGAAACACUGGAAAUGAAAACAGGUGAGAAUGUCACUGACUACUUUGCAAAAGUCAUGACUGUAGCAAGUAAGAUGAGAACCUAUGGGGAGCAGAUGAAAGAUGUAACAAUUAUGGAGAAAAUUCUUCGAUCAUUGACUGACAUAUUCAAUUACAUAGUAUGCUCAAUUGAAGAAUCUAAGGAUAUUGAUGUUCUCUCAAUUGAUGAGUUACAAAGCUCGUUGAUUGUAUAUGAACAAAAAUUUCAGAAACAUCACAUAGAAGAACAAGCCUUGAAAGUGACAGCUGAAGAAAGAUCAUAUGGUAGAGGACAAGGCAGACGAGUCUUCAGAGGAGGUGGAAGAGGUAGAGGACGCUAUAACUUUGAUAAAACCACUGUGGAAUGUUAUAGAUGUCACAAACUUGGUCAUUUUCAGUAUGAAUGCCCCACAGUGAGCAAGGAGGCAAAUUAUGCAGAACUGAACAAUGAAGAAGAAAUUCUAUUGAUGUCUCAUAUAGAAUUAUAUGGCAACAAUCGAGAGAAUGCUUGGUUCUUGGAUUCUGGCUGCUCAAACCAUAUGUGUGGAUAAAAUGAGACGUUCUGUGAUUUGGAUGAAAAAUUUAGACAACUGGUAAAGCUUGGGAAUAAUACACGAAUGACAGUCCUUGGAAAAGGAAAAAUCAAGUUGUUUUUGGAUGGGAUGCAGCACAUGGUUACUGAUGUAUUCUAUGUGCCUGAACUGAGGAACAAUCUCAUGAGCAUAGGCCAACUACAAGAAAAGGGUCUGGCGAUUCUUAUCAAAUCAGGAACAUGCAAGAUCUAUCACCCUGUGAGAGGCCUGAUCAUCCAAACCAGAAUGACAGUCAACAGGAUGUUUGUAUUAAUAGCAAAGGCUCAAGGCAAAGAAGUCUCAUGUUUCCAUACACAUGCACGAGAUGUAUCACAUUUGUGGCAUUGCAGAUAUGGUCAUCUUAGCCACAAAGGACUAAGAACAUUGCAGUAUAAGAAGAUGGUUCGAGGACUACCACAGCUCCCUGCAUCAACUACAAAAUGCACUGCCUGUAUUACUGGCAAGCAACACAGAGAAUCUUUCCCAAAGAAGAGUCAAUGGCGUGCAUCACAAAGGCUACAGCUCAUCCAUGCAGACAUAUGUGGUCCAAUCACACCAACCUCAAACAGCAAGAAAAGGUACUUCUUAUGCCUCAUUGAUGAUUAUAGCAGGAAGGCCUGGGCUUAUUUUAUGGCAGAAAAAUCAGAAGCUCUUCAACAUAUCCAGCACUUUAAGAAGCUUGUUGAGAAAGAAACUGGACAAUUCAUCAAGGGUAUAAGAACGGAUAGAGGUGGUGAGUUCAACUCCCUGGAAUUCAAUGAGUUCUGUCAACAAAUGGCAUCAAAAGACAGCUAACUACAGCCUACACCCCUCAGCAGAAUGGAGUGGCUGAGAGGAAGAACAGGACAGUGAUGAACUUGGUAAGAUCAAUGCUUUCAGAAAAGAAGAUUCCUAAAAGUUUCUGGGCUGAGGCAGUAAAAUGGAUCAUAUAUGUCUUGAAUAGAUGCCCUACAAAUGCUAUAAAAGACAUGACUCCAGAAGAAGUGUGGACUGGAAUGAAACCCUCGGUUGAACACUUUAGAGUGUUUGGGUGUGUAGCUCAUGUGCAUAUACCAAAUGCAAGACGAACCAAACUAGAAAACAAGAGUGUGUGCUGUGUAUUGUUGGGAGUUAGCGAAGAAUCAAAAGGCUACAGAUUAUAUGAUCCCACAACAAAGAAAAUUGUAACCAGCAGGGACAUAAUCUGUGAAGAAGAAAAACACUGGGACUGGGAUAUCAGUUACAAAGAGGAAGUACAAAUGAGUUUAGAAUGGGGAGAAGAAGAUGAAACUGAUGAAAAUGAAGCAAACAGCAGUGAAGAUGCAGAGGCAACUGAUAUUAUUGCCAACUCACAUACUGAAGAUGGGAAUGACAUUAGAGAACCCAGAGAAGCUCCUGCCAAUACAACAUAUGAAGAAGAUGUUCAGCUGCAUGCAAGGAGGGAGACAAUUAUGCCAAUUGGAUGAGAGACUAUGUCUCUGGUGAAGGACUGUCAGAAGAAGAAACUGAAUUGAAUAUGACAAUUAUUAGUUCUGGUGAUCCCGUGAGCUAUGAAGAAGCAGUAAAAAGUUACAAGUGGAGGGAAGCCAUGGAUGUUGAAAUGGAGUCAAUUCAGAAGAAUAAAACAUGGAGCUUAACUGAAUUACCAGCUGGAACUAAGAAGAUUGGGGUGAAAUGGAUAUACAAGACCAAACUGAAUGAGUCUAGCAAAGUGGAUAAGCUGAAAGCCAGGUUAGUUGCCAAGGGUUAUGCUCAACAACAUGGUGUGGAUUAUACAGAAGUAUUUGCUCCUGUGGCAAGAAUGGACACUGUUCGGAUGAUCAUUGCACUAGCUGCUAAAGGGGUUGGCCAUCUAUCAAUUAGAUGUUAAGUCGGCUUUCUGCAUGGAGAAUUAAGUGAGGAUUUAUUUGUAGAGCAACCAAAGGGUAUGAGCAGAAAGGAGAUGAACAUAAGGUCUACAAAUUACACAAAGCUUUGUAUGGACUAAAACAAGCCCCUAGAGCUUGGUUUAGUCGCAUUGAAGCUUACUUCAGCCAUGAAGGAUUUCAGAAGUGCAUUAGUGAGCAAACUCUGUUUGUUAAAACCAGUGAAGGCAGAAUUCUUAUUGUGAGUGUCUAUGUGGAUGAUUUGAUCUUCACUGGAGAUGAUGAGUAGUUGAUGCUGGAAUUCAAACAAUCAAUGAUGAGGGUGUUUGACAUGAUUGACCUAGGAAGAAUGAGAUUCUUUCUAGGCAUAGAAGUACUGCGACAGACCAAUGGGAUAUAUAUCUGUCAACGAAAAUAUAUACUAGAGGUUCUGAAACGAUUUGGCAUGGAAGACAGUAAUGCAGUAAUGAAUCCUAUAGUCCCUGGUUUCAAACCUGACAAAGUUGGAGAAGGAAACAAAGUUGAUGAGACUUACUAUAAAUAAAUAGUAGGAAGUCUCAUGUAUAUCACUGCUACCAGGCCAGAUAUCAUGUUUGCAGUGAGUUUUAUUAGCAGGUGUAUGUCCAAUCCAACAGAGGUGCAUCUGCAAGCUACUAAAAGAAUAUUACGAUACUUGAAGGGCACCAUCAAUUAUGGUAUAUUCUACAAGAAGAAUGAUAACAAGCAGCUGAUUGCAUACACUGACAGUGACUAUGCAGGAGAUCUUACAUACAGGAAGAGUACAUCCGGCUAUAUCUUCAUACUAAGUGGAGGAGCAGUCUCAUGGUCAUCAAAGAAGCAGCCUAUUGUCACUCUGUCAACAACUGAAGCAGAAUUCGUGGCUGCAGCAGCUUGUGCCUGUCAGGCAGUAUGGAUGAGAAGGAUAUUGGAGAAGUUAAACCAUGAACAAAAGGGCUGCACUAUCUUAAUGUGUGAUAACAGUUCAACCAUCAAGCUCUCAAGAAAUCCUAUUAUGCAUGGACGCAGCAAGCACAUUGAUGUGAGGUUCCAUUUCUUACGUGAUCUAACUCGAGACAAAGUCAUCGAACUGGUGCAUUGCAACUCUCAAGAUCAAGUAGCUGACCUGCUGACAAAACCAGUUAAACUACAGACAUUUGAAAGCCUGCGAGAGCAAAUGGGAGUGUGUGUGAUUCCUGACAUAAACUAAUUGUUACACAUAAUUAGUUUAAAGGAGAGAAUGUUGAAGAAUAAUCAAUUACUGUUAGCAGUUCUUGUUAGUAAGUCGGUUAAUACUGUUAGUCUAGCUGGCAGUUAGUUAAGUCUGUUAGUAUUCCUAACUAACAAUAACAGAUUCCUUGAAUCACGGGGCAGUAGCUGAUUCCUUGUAAUGGCUAUAUAAUGCCUUAUUGUUGCAUCUAUAGAGAAUAAUACAGUACAGUAUUCAUCAAUCGUUCUUGUUUAUCAAUUCUAACACUUAAUCCAUGCAAAUUGACUCCACCAUCGCUGCUUUGUUAACUCUUCAUAACUGAUAAUUUGCUGGGUUUUAUUUUAUUUUUUAUCAGUCGCUUAAUUUUAACGUCACUGCUUCAAUUCACUCUGUCAAAAGCCCCGGUCUUCUACUAUGGUCUUUGAAUGAAUGAGUUUAGUUCUUGACUUUGCCGCAUCUGAUAUCACGGGCGUCUCUUAAAAAUAAUCCUCGAUUAUUUUUUAAAAAUAAAUUUAUAGUAUCUUAUUUUUUUAAAAAAAAUAUUUUAUUUGAUGAAUUGUCACCUAGUAUUAUAAGCAUUAGAAAUCAUAACUAGUCAAAAUAGAUUUUAUGGUACGUGAUUGAUUAUGUAAAAAGAAAGAUAUUAUCACCCUUUAAACGUUCUCCCUAAAACAGACUGCAUUGCUGGUUUUGUCUUAAAUUGCUAAACAUUUAUUUGCUUAUACUAUGAUGGUUUGUUUAUAAUAUUCCUGACUUUGACCUAGUGAAUAUUCAAUCUCGAAUAAUUUCAACUCUGGCGUUAGUAAAAAUUCCAACCCCGAAUAAUUCCAACUCUGGCGUUGGUAAAAAUUUCACCACGAAUAAUUCCAACUCUAAUGUUGGUAAAAAUUCAUAACUAUAAAAAAAAUAGUGUGUGUAUAUAUAUAUAUAUAUAUAUAUUUAUUAUUGAUCUUGAUAUCAGUAAAUAAAUAGAUAAAAAUAAAUAUUUUCUAAGACAUGCAAAAUUUUUAUUUGUACGCUUUCUAUUUUUUAUUUUUUAUUUUUUGUUUUGUGGGCUGGGCUGGAUCCAGCUGACCCGGUUGGGUCACUGGUCUAGACCAAUGACCCGGCUGUUAUAAUUCACUGCUAUUUUAGCAUUGAAUUAAAAUGCAAAGGAGAGAAGAUGACUUACCUGCUGCUCCUGAAGAUGAAGAUGAAGACGGUUCUCUCGGGUGGUUUUUCUUUUUCAAGUCACUGUUCGUCCUCCAUUUUUCUGUGGUUCUUGGUCUGUUCCUCGAUAUUUUUUUCAGUUCUUCCUCUCUCUCUGUUUUCUGUCCCUAGUGCUGGAGAUGGUUAAGGCAAUGGUCCCAUCCCUGUAUAAUCUCUGUCUCUCCUCCUGCUUGCGGCCCGUUUGCGUUUCCAAAUUCCAGGUCUCCUCGGUUUCCUCCGUUCCUCCUUGUUCGUCUCUGUUUUUUUUUUUUUGCUGUCUAUUUGUUUUCUUUUCUCUGUUUCUCGCCCUGUCGUGUUCGUUCUUCCCGGUCCUGUGGGUUCUAUCUCUGGUUUUCUUAUGAUUUUUCUCAACUUGGGAGCCCUUUUUGACCCCCUGUUUGCGUCUAUGCUUUUCAGUUUUCUCCCCGCCCUUUUCUCCGUCUGUAUUUUUUCUUUUUUUUCAGUUCCUUUCCCUCCUUUCAGUCCCCAGUUUUUCUUCCUUUUCCUUCCUCCCCUGCGUUCUUUCUUUUCUCUGGCUUUAUAGCCACAGAAUGCCACCGUUACCAGGUAAUAAAUCGACUGUUAUUGCAGGAGUAAUGGCGAUGCAUCCGUUUUUGUUCGGUCAAGUGAAGAAGAAGAUGAACAGUGUUGAUGGACAUGGCUAAUUGCAUUUGGAUCCUUGAAAUUUUGAAUUUGGCAGUCCAGUCCUUGGGUAAAUUUUAAUUGAACCCCUGCAUCUCAGCGCCAUUUACAAAUUGGUCCUUGGGUUUUAAUUUCUUGCAACUUUGACCAGAAUCAGCCCUAUACUUGGAUAAUGUUUCAAUUAAGCCCCUGAUUUCAUUAAUUAAAUUAAUAUCAAUCUCAAUUAAGUCUCAAAACUUAUCAAUUCUUCAAUUGAACCCUUGGUUGGAUUAAUUAAAUCAAUUUCAAGCUUAUUCAAGUAUCAAAACUUAUCAAUUCUUCAAUUAAACCCUUAACUUGAUUAAUUAAACUAGUCAAGAAUUUAAUUAAAUUUUUAAACUUUUAAUUAUAUUGCUUUUAACCCAAAUUUUAAUUCAUUCUUUAAUUAUUUUAUUUUUACUUGUGUUUUAUUAUUUUUUUAAUAAAUAAAAUAAUUAAAAUCAAAAAUAAAAAAUUAGUUCAUGACAGACUUUGCAGAGAAGAAUUUAGUUUGGUCGUUUACAAAAGGAUUAAAUAUGAGAGUACGAAAAGUAAGUUGAAAUGACAACUUUUUAUUUAAAAAGAAAAAACUUUUCCUUUUCACAUUACUUUCUUUCAGGCUACCAUAUCCUCGAUAAAAGCACCCUACUAGAGAUUGUUUCUCAACUUUUUUUUAAGAAUCUAUUCGCUUUUGUUGAUUGUGAGAGAUUAGCAAAGGUUCAAUGGCCAAGUAACAAGUGUUCCUUUGGGCUCAAACAACCUCCCUUCCCCCUUUGCUUUUUUUUUUUUUUUUAAUAUUGAUUUUGAUUUUUAAUUUCAAACGAGUUUGUGUCACGCGUGAGAUAAUUCGUUGUUUCACCAGCGCAUGUAUGAUUUUCGGCAGACAGCUAGUAGGACACAAACCUCUCCCACACGGCAGGUGCAAGUAAAUUCCACAGGUGGGCCCCGCAGCAUUAGACUGUGAAGGUGGAAUCUAGCUGACUUUAAAAGGUUCCAAUCAAGUCAAGGUCACACAUCCACUCUAUGUGCCAUGCAAUUUCUUGAAAUCAAUUUGCCAUGAUAUUUCUUCAAAUCAAUUUGCCAUGAUAUUUCUAAGAAGACACGAGGACCUAAGUGAAAUUAACCUCACAGUUUGGGGAUUUUUUAAUGAGAUUUUCCGAGGAAAAAAUGUACUGACAUUUCCAUAUUCAAAAUUAGGCGGCUUGACUUAGAGGAGAAUUAUAAUGGAGCACUUAUUUUUUAUUUUAAAAUAAUAAUUUUUUUAUUUUUUUAAAAAUUAUUUUUAAUAUUAAAAUAUUAAAAAAAUUAAUAUAAAAUAAAAAAAUUCAAUUUAUUUUAAGAACACUUUUAAAACAUAAAGAAAUAAUAGAAUAAAAAAGUUUUGAUUCUAGUAAGUUCUUGCUUGCAAGUCCUCCGUGAGUCACGUAUAUCCCAACUGGCGUCCAAGCCUAAUAAUUGGUCUUCCGUCGACCAUUAUCGUGGUAAUUUGCUUUAUAAAAAAGGCUAUCUGCCACGGUGAGUUUUGUACCACCCGACUCCAUUCUAAGUAAACAGAAAAGUAGCUGUCAUGGGAAUUCGAGGAAUGGCCUUACAGUUCACAAUAACAGGAGUACUGUUGUUAGCAGCAGUGACAGCAGCAACAGAGCUUCCUAUAGCGAAGCCUGGAUGCCAUGAUAGGUGUGGGAAUGUUAGUAUCCCAUAUCCAUUUGGCACGGGAGAAGAUUGCUACUACGGCUCUAAGUUCCUCAUAACUUGCAACCAUACUUUCAACCCUCCAAAAGCGUUUUUAGGAAAUGGUAGCUUAGAGGUCACAGAAAUAACCCUUGAUGGGAAGCUACGCAUCAUGCAUUAUAUAGCUAAGGAUUGCUAUAAUCAGGCAGGUGCACGAACAUCGAGAAACAGUCCCUGGAUAAACCUAUCCAUCAAAGGUCCAUACGUUGUUUCUGACACUGACAAUAUGUUCGUCGGUAUCGGCUGUGAUACUGUAGCUAAACUGCGAGGUACCCGAGAAAACAUGAGUGAUACAUACCUGGUAGGAUGCAUUUCCGAAUGUAGCAACAAACAAUAUGUACCAAACACAUGCUCCGGAAUUGGUUGCUGCCAAACCUCCAUUGCCAAAGGAAUUAAGCACUUCGACCUGAGCUUGUCUAGUUACAGUAGUCAUACGGGAAUCUGGGAAUUCAAUCGUUGCGGCUUUGCCUUCAUUAUUGAAGAAAAGCAGUUCAGCUUUUUUCCAAGUAACCUGUCGGAUUUGGAGAAAGUAGAGAAGCUUCCUAUUAUAGUUGAUUGGAGUAUUGGGCGCAAUAACUGCGAAACCUUGGAAAAGAACAGGAUGUCUAGUGCAUGUCAGGGACAGAGCAAAUGUCAUGACCCUGAAAAUGGGUCUGGGUACAUUUGCAAAUGCUUAGAUGGCUAUCAAGGAAAUCCAUACCUCCCAAAUGGUUGCC
Molecule: long non-coding RNA, 21566 nt
Filed under: Populus tremula
Lineage: Eukaryota; Viridiplantae; Streptophyta; Magnoliopsida; Malpighiales; Salicaceae
Description: long non-coding RNA (PTRE_LNC001854)
Source: RNAcentral